Apodemus sylvaticus (European woodmouse) is the source of this 2120-nucleotide long non-coding RNA. RefSeq lists it as uncharacterized. NCBI's taxonomy places the organism in Eukaryota, Metazoa, Chordata, Mammalia, Rodentia, Muridae. The record is from RefSeq and is a predicted model, not a curated record. The transcript is spliced from 3 exons.
UUAGUUUAGUUUAGAUUGGUCUUAAUUUGGUGAGCCUGGGAUCUUCACCGGUUUCCUUCAGCAGAUCAUGCAACAGAAACCCCGUCUUCUGUAGCCAAGGCUGGCCUUUAACUUGCUGUAUACCUGCAGAUAGCCUUAAACUUUGGAACCUCCUGUCCUUACCUCCAAGUGCUGGAAUUAUUAUAUGAACACUACCAAAUGUGGUCUGUGCCAUGCUGGGGACAAGCUGGAGCUUUGUGUACAAUAGGUGUUGUAGCUGUUCCCAAUGCAGUUCCAAUUUAUCUCCCAGCCCAGGAUUUUACUGAACAGAAAUAGCAGAGGGAAUAGUUGUUGAAUGAACAUACUCGACUUAUGCUGUACGGGAACUGUUCGCUCACCUGGAGUCUGCCUCUGACAUCAGCCCAGUGCCAGAUCGAGCAGUACUUUGUGUUCCCAGCAACCAGGGAGGAGCUGAGUACACAGUAGGUGCUCAAUAAAUGUGAAGAAAAUAAGGACUCUUUCUGACCUCCACGCUAGCUGCUCUUUUAAAUAGAAACAAUCCCAUGGCAUUUGGCAUUUUAAAUGUGUAUUAAUCUUGUGAAAUAUUUUUGUUUCUAAAUUGACAAAACACUAUCAGAAAGACUGUGAAGGCAAAGCUAUCAGCCACUUACAGAGCUGAAUGUGGUAAUGAGGAAAAGCAUCAUUUCCUGUGGUUUGACAAUAAUGUGACAGGAAUGGUUUCUGCUGUUUUGAAUAGAUUAUGAACAUAACUUGACCCUCUCCAUUGAUACUUGAAGCUGUGGAAUCCUACUAAAUAAAUAUGACCUAUUCCUCAGCCAAUCAGGUACAGUACUUAUGGAUAGCUUGGAGCACUCAUGAUAUUGCUAAAUUCCCUGAGGGGUUUUCAAACAUUGGACCUCUCUCUCUCUCUCUCUCUCUCUCUCUCUCUCUCUCUCUCUCUCUCUCUCUUUCUCUUUUAGAAAGCCUUGCUAUAUAGCCUUAGCUGGUCUGGAACUUGAUGUAUAUAAAUCAGGCUGGCCUAAAAUUUGUGCUAAUUUUCCUGUUUCUACCUCCAGAGUACUCAGGCUUGUAUCAUCUUUCCUGCUUUCCAGUGUUGGUUUCUGUUCCCAACAAUUUUACACUUUAGUUUAAAAGAAGAUGUGAACAGAGGAAGGACUUAGCAAUAAGAAGUAUUUCUCUGGAAAACUCACCAUAGUGUGUGUCUGUCUGUCUGUCUGUCUGUAGAAGGUGUCUUUACUCAAGUUGGCCUGUACAGACAACAGAGAUUGGUAUCCAUAUAUCUUUCUCAAUGGCUUCUUCACCACAUCUUUAAAGACAGGGUUUCUCACUGAACCUGUUUUGCAGUUUGGGCUAGACUGGCUAAACUUCAGGGUUGAUCUCCAUUUGUUUGUUUGGUUGGUUGGUUAGAGCACAAAAAUGAAGAUCAUACAACAACUUGCAGGAGUCAGGUCCUUCUUUCCCUCUACCUUCUGUGGCUUGGGGAUGGAGCAAAUGUGGUUAGGCUUGGUAGCAGGCACCUUUUCCUUACUCUUGUCUAAAGUCUCUUAUUGAGCCAUCUUACCAGUCUGUUAUUUAUUUACUUAAGACAGGGUCUCGUGUAUCUCAUGCUGGUUGUAAACUCGCUAUAUCUCUCAGGAUGGCCUAGAACUUCUAAUAUUUCUGCCUCAACCCCUGAAACAUGGAAUUUAGAAAUUCAAGGGAGCAAUGACUUUGCACUUGCUACUCAAAAUUAAAUGAAAACAGUAUCUCCUAAUUAAUGGAGGACACGGAAAACAGGUACUAUGGCUUUUUACCUAUGAGUAUAUGUCUGUGGCAAACAAAAUACUCAACAUGAAAUAGACAAUCAGUAGAUAUUGUUAGAGUAAACUAAUGAUCCAUCAUUCUGGCUUAAUGUAGAGAAGAUGUUGCUGGCUGUAGGUACGGAUUCAAAUCAGCUUAACCAAUAUCAAUGGUAAGCUAGUAUAUACAGCUCUCUAAAUAUAUCCUUUCACAAGAAAUUUUAAAGGGCCAGGCAUGGUGAUGUUUCAAGUCUCAGCUCCAGGGAGACUGCAGCAGAGAGAUCCUGGCUAGCCUGAACUAAAUAGUGAGACCCUGGUCUCAGAGCAAAACAAAAUAAAACA